Molecule: non-coding RNA, 45 nt
Filed under: Schistosoma margrebowiei
Lineage: Eukaryota; Metazoa; Platyhelminthes; Trematoda; Strigeidida; Schistosomatidae
Source: RNAcentral
AUCCAGUUGAUGAGUCUCAAAUAGGACGAAACGUACCGUCUAGAU